UGAAGUGUUUUAAAAAAUGGUGUCGGU
RNAcentral lists this small RNA (27 nucleotides) under Bombyx mori (domestic silkworm). Its description in RNAcentral is "ovarian small RNA-31026". The record is from RNAcentral. Lineage: Eukaryota; Metazoa; Arthropoda; Insecta; Lepidoptera; Bombycidae.